GACGAACGCUGGCGGCGUGCCUAACACAUGCAAGUCGAACGCUUCUUCCCUCCCGAGUUGUUGUUCUCGAUUGGGAAGAGGGGUCGUGGACGGGUUACUACCACGUCUAUAAUUUACCCAUCAGUGAGGUAUAACACUUUACAACAGGACCUCAUACCGCAUACCAGUUUAUGCCGCAUGGCUUCAGAGCUUAAGGCGCUUUCUGGUCUGCUUGAUGGUUGGCUCCAUGGUGGAUUAGCUAGUUGGCGAGGUAACGGCUCACCAAGGCGACGAUGCAUAGCCGACCUGAGAGGAGGAUCGGCCACACUGGAACUGAGACACGGCCCAGACUCCUACGGGAGGCAGCAGUAGGGAAUAUUGGGCAAUGGGCGAAAGUCUGACCGAGCAAGGCCGCGUGAGUGAAGAAGGUUUUCGGAUCGUAAAGCUCUGUUGUUGGGGAAGAACAGGGGCGGUAGUAAAUGAAGGUGCCCUGACGGUAUCUAAACAGUAAGCAACGGCUAACUACGUG
This 508-nucleotide ribosomal RNA is filed under the name uncultured bacterium. RNAcentral's name for it is "partial 16S ribosomal RNA". It matches the Rfam family "Bacterial small subunit ribosomal RNA", at positions 28 to 507 of the family's 1533-position model. The record is from RNAcentral.